Molecule: ribosomal RNA, 251 nt
Filed under: uncultured bacterium
Lineage: Bacteria
Description: partial 16S ribosomal RNA
Rfam family: Bacterial small subunit ribosomal RNA
Source: RNAcentral
CCGCAAGGUAUUAGUGGCGACCGGGUGCGUAACACGUAGCUGACCUGCCCCUCAGCGGGGGACAACAGUUCGAAAGGACUGCUAAUACCGCAUAAUUUCGGAGCAAUUAGAAAACUCUGAAUAAACUUACGGGGCUGAGGGAGGGAGCUGCGGCCCAUCAGGUAGUUGGUGAGGUAACGGCUCACCAAGCCGACGACGGGUAGGGGGCCUGAGAGGGUGGUCCCCCACACUGGAACCGACAAACGGUCCAG